CGGGUAGCCGGCCUGAGAGGGUGACCGGCCACACUGGGACUGAGACACGGCCCAGACUCCUACGGGAGGCAGCAGUGGGGAAUAUUGCACAAUGGGCGAAAGCCUGAUGCAGCGACGCCGCGUGAGGGAUGACGGCCUUCGGGUUGUAAACCUCUUUCAGUAGGGAAGAAGCGAAAGUGACGGUACCUGCAGAAGAAGCACCGGCUAACUACGUGCCAGCAGCCGCGGUAAUACGUAGGGUGCGAGCGUUAUCCGGAAUUAUUGGGCGUAAAGAGCUCGUAGGCGGUUUGUCGCGUCUGUCGUGAAAGUCCGGGGCUUAACCCCGGAUCUGCGGUGGGUACGGGCAGACUAGAGUGCAGUAGGGGAGACUGGAAUUCCUGGUGUAGCGGUGGAAUGCGCAGAUAUCAGGAGGAACACCGAUGGCGAAGGCAGGUCUCUGGGCUGUAACUGACGCUGAGGAGCGAAAGCAUGGGGAGCGAACAGGAUUAGAUACCCUGGUAGUCCAUGCCGUAAACGUUGGGCACUAGGUGUGGGGACCAUUCCACGGUUUCCGCGCCGCAGCUAACGCAUUAAGUGCCCCGCCUGGGGAGUACGG
RNAcentral lists this ribosomal RNA (595 nucleotides) under Micrococcus sp. RNAcentral's name for it is "bacterial SSU rRNA". It matches the Rfam family "Bacterial small subunit ribosomal RNA", at positions 280 to 885 of the family's 1533-position model. Lineage: Bacteria; Bacillati; Actinomycetota; Actinomycetes; Micrococcales; Micrococcaceae. The record is from RNAcentral.